Long non-coding RNA from Oryctolagus cuniculus (rabbit), 2551 nucleotides. The record is from Ensembl. Lineage: Eukaryota; Metazoa; Chordata; Mammalia; Lagomorpha; Leporidae.
AACAAUCUUUAAUUCAAAUGUAAAAUUCAAUACAAGCUAUUUGUAUGGGUUUGGGAUCUGUUGUUCUUUAAAAACAAGAAUGGGAAAAUGCAUCAAAAUGACCUUUCCACUUUUUAAAAACAUUCAAAGAAUGAAUAGAUCAUGGGGAACUGGAAAACCUUCCUGGUCUAUUCACUGCCUGAUUUUUUCCUUUGGCUGUCCCAGUUGUGUUAGCAUGGAGACUUGGUCAUCAACAAAAAAUUCCCUUUUAUGAAACUGCUAACAUGUAACUAAAUGGUUUAUGCAUUUUAAGUUUUUCUGUCAUUUUUAUAACUUUUUUGAAGAACAAAUAAUCAAUUUAAUCAUGGAGAACUAUUUUUUCAUAACUAAACUUUGAAAUAUAUAUCAUGAGAAUUAAAUCAUAUUUAUAUCAAUAAGAAUGUAUAUUUAUAUUGGAAUUGAUUAGCAUUUUAAGUUUCUUUAGUAAAUGUGUUUUAAUUCUACAGACUUUAAGUUGAAAUAUAUAAAUUCGUAAGAAAAAAACCUGUAUUAUACUCUAUUUAUUUUUAUUAGUAAUUAUAUUGAUAGCAUUAUUAUACAAUUUAGAAAUGCUGUUGGUUUAUAUUUUGGCAUCAAGAUGAGUAUUUUUCCUAAAAGACUUUUGAGUACAGAAGAUAAUUUAGGGGAGGAGCAAGGGUGUAUAUUUUUUUUGGCUAAUAUACUGCAUAGAACUGUUACACAGCUGUUUCUUAACUGAAAUGUUGCUUUGCAAUCUCCAUUAUUUUAGUGUGGUUUUUAACAUUUUUUUUCCAGGAAUUUCAAGUUCUACUUUAGACUCUGAAAGGACUUUUAAUUUUAUAGAGGAUCAGAAGGAUUUUUCACAUUUCUUUUGCUUAAAAGCACAAAAGUCAAGGCAACAAGGAGAAAUAGAAGGAGAUUGCAUCAGUGUCUUGUGAAGAAAAGAACCUUUGGUUACCAAAACUGGUAAUGAUAAUUAGCAGCUAUUUUUAAAUUGUUUUGAAAUAGUACCUCCUUUUGUUCUCCAAAAAUGAAUUAAUUGGGAUUUAGACUGGUUUCUAAAAUGACUUCUACUGAAAGAUUUUAGGAUUAUCUGCAUAAAUUGAGCAUACUGUGCCUGUGCAAGUAAAGACAGUAUGACAUGCAUGAUAUGAGACAAUUUUAGAUUUACGAAUAUAAAUCUAAUAAUUAAAAUGCGUUUUUUUCUGUUAUAUGCAGGUAGUAAAGGCAGGAGACCUGCUGCUAGAAUAUGUGUAUACAAAUAUUUGUAUACCACCCCCAUACCCUGUUGUUUAAUUUUUAGUAUUCUUCAUUUGCUAAAAGUAAACCCAAAUCCAGAUUUAUUUUAAUUUUUUAUUAAACUAAAUUAAAUCAAAUUUAUCAUUUUAAGAAUGCUUGUUUUCUAAGCUGAUUGCCAAUUAUAAAUUACAUUUUGUUGUUAUAAGAGGAAUCACUUCGCCUUGCAGACUGUGACCUCUGUCCUCACACUGUUUUCCUCUCCUCUUUACCUAUUUGUUUUAAAACAGAGCUCUACACAUAGAGUUGACUAAUUGGACCUUGUGCUUCUUAAUACCCCCUGCCUCUUACAUUAAGAUUGGAACCAUACUCAACUAUGAUUCAAACCUCAGUAAUUUUUUCUUUUAUUAAUAUAAAUGUGGAGAGGGUUUUGAUUCCAUUUAGUAAUGUAGCUUUUGAAAUCUUGCUUUUUGGCCCGUGAAUGUUCAUUUCUUGCAUCUUGUAAUAAUGUAUUUAUUAAAUAUCCCAAAAUAUAAAUUAUUGGGAAUAAGACUAAUGAUAUGAAUAUGAGAUACCAUAAAUAUAACCUAAUUAUUAGGUUAUUGAAUUUGGCUUAAUUUCACAUUUUAUUAUGGUUUUUAUGAAGAUUUUUUUCUUGACAGCUAAUUCUUUGUGUUCUUCCUCAAGAUAAAAGUCAGUGGAUAUGUAGAAUUAAAGAAUUAAGAGCAUGGUAAAGCAACAUUAAAGAAAUAGUAAAUUUAAUUGAUGUAAUGGUUUUCUUUUGUAUACUCUAUGGGUCAGAGUCUCUGAUCUUUGUUUUUUUCUUUCCCAGCAUAUCACAAACCCAAGGAAGGUUGUUGGCCAGCAAGAUUUGAUGAUCAAUAACCCCUUUCACAGGAUGAUGGGGUAAAGUUUGUCUAUAUUCAUCUCUCAGCCUCUUUUAGCUGUACGAAAAGGCCAAUGUGACCAGUUAUCAGUUGUUCUGAAAACAGUGUAGUUCAUGUCAGCUCUUUUCUUUACUCCACAUACUAUAAUGCUACAGCCUGAUGGAAACUGCCCGACAGUGUACUGCAGGAGGUGUAGGAGCUCUUUCUGUGGAAAGGCACCAAGAGAUAUCCCAGGGGUUUAUAAGAAGGAAGGGUAACAGGCGAGCAUAAAGUUGAUGCCAGAACCGUGUUGCCAAGGCUCCAGGGGACAGGGCAGCUAAGGAAAGCCUUUCUUCCUCAUGAGAACAGACAAGAUUUCAUUUUGAAGGCCUAACUCCCAGGGAUAAAAAAGUAAAUAUGCAGGAAUAAAAAAAAAUACAGGAAAAAGAUCA